RNAcentral lists this ribosomal RNA (468 nucleotides) under uncultured bacterium. RNAcentral's name for it is "partial 16S ribosomal RNA". It matches the Rfam family "Bacterial small subunit ribosomal RNA", at positions 28 to 507 of the family's 1533-position model. The record is from RNAcentral.
GACGAACGCUGGCGGCGUGCUUAACACAUGCAAGUCGAACGGAAAGGCCCUGCUUUUGUGGGGUGCUCGAGUGGCGAACGGGUGAGUAACACGUGAGUAACCUGCCCUUGACUUUGGGAUAACUUCAGGAAACUGGGGCUAAUACCGGAUAGGAGCUCCUGCUGCAUGGUGGGGGUUGGAAAGUUUCGGCGGUUGGGGAUGGACUCGCGGCUUAUCAGCUUGUUGGUGGGGUAGUGGCUUACCAAGGCUUUGACGGGUAGCCGGCCUGAGAGGGUGACCGGCCACAUUGGGACUGAGAUACGGCCCAGACUCCUACGGGAGGCAGCAGUGGGGAAUAUUGCACAAUGGGCGGAAGCCUGAUGCAGCGACGCCGCGUGCGGGAUGACGGCCUUCGGGUUGUAAACCGCUUUCGCCUGUGACGAAGCGUGAGUGACGGUAAUGGGUAAAGAAGCACCGGCUAACUACGCG